AAUAAAUCAAUUUUUCAUUUUUUAUCUUUAAUUUUUGACUUUUCGUCUUAUUCAAUUUUUUUACGAUUGAUUUUUUUAUUAGAUGAUAAAUUAUGAGUAGUAUUUUACGUGUGACUAAUUUUUUUUCUAAUUUUCUAAAAAAUUUUUAAAUAAGAUGGAUGGUCAAAUGUUGUACACGGAAACCGGAGAAUUUAUU
This 196-nucleotide microRNA precursor is filed under the name Oryza brachyantha (malo sina). RNAcentral describes it as "MIR812 microRNA precursor family". It matches the Rfam family "MIR812 microRNA precursor family". The record is from Rfam by way of RNAcentral. Lineage: Eukaryota; Viridiplantae; Streptophyta; Magnoliopsida; Poales; Poaceae.